Molecule: ribosomal RNA, 449 nt
Filed under: uncultured bacterium
Lineage: Bacteria
Description: partial 16S ribosomal RNA
Rfam family: Bacterial small subunit ribosomal RNA
Source: RNAcentral
CCUACGGGUGGCUGCAGUGGGGAAUAUUGCGCAAUGGGCGAAAGCCUGACGCAGCGACGCCGCGUGGGUGAUGAAGGCCUUCGGGUUGUAAAGCCCUGUCGGGUGGAACGAACGAUCUGGCGGCGAAUAACCGCCGGGUGUGACGGUACCACCGAAGGAAGCCCCGGCUAACUACGUGCCAGCAGCCGCGGUAAGACGUCGGGGGCAAUGGUUGUUCGGAUUUACUGGGCGUAAAGGGCGCGUGGGCGUCAAAUCCCGCGGCUUAACCGAGGUCCCGCAUCCGAUACUGUCUGGCUCGAGUCUAGGAGAGGAAAGCGGAAUUCCAAGUGUAGAGGUGAAAUGCGUAGAUAUUGGGAGGAACACCGGUGGCGAAGGCGGCUUUCCGGACUAGUACUGACGCUGAGGCGCGAAAGCUAGGGGAGCGAACGGGAUUAGAUACCCCGGUAGUC